AAGCUUUUGCAAAGAUUUCAACUUGCAAAUACAACUUGGAAGAAUAUGAAACUUUUUGCAGUUUUGAAGGCUUAAUUCAACAAGUUCAAAGCAGAACUCAAUUGAUGAUGGUAUUUCCUCUACUGCUGUCCCAUCUAAGAACAACUUCUUUAUGCUCUUUGAAACCUCUGGAAACUUGUUGAUCCCUGAGCAGCCCGAGACAAUAAGCUUUUCAAGUGAU
This 220-nucleotide unclassified non-coding RNA is filed under the name Hevea brasiliensis (rubber tree). Lineage: Eukaryota; Viridiplantae; Streptophyta; Magnoliopsida; Malpighiales; Euphorbiaceae. The record is from RNAcentral.